GGAGAACAGCUCCCAGCAGCCCACACAUGGUGACUGCGUGAGCGGCCUGUGGCCACCACAAUAGUUACCACAAAUUGGGUGGCAAAAGACAAGAGAAAUGUAUUCCCCCCAGUUCUGGGGGCCAGAAGUCUGAAGUCAAGUCAUCCGCAGAGCCCUGCUCCCUCUGAAGCCUCCAGCGGGGAUCCUUCCUGCCUCUUCCAACUCCUGGUGGCCCCAGGCAUUCCCUGGCUUGUGGAUGCAUCACUCCCAUCUCUGCUUCCGUUUUCAUGUGGCCUCUCCUCUAUGUGUGUCUGUGUCUUCUCUUCUGCUUCUUAUGAGGACACCUGUCAUCGGCUUUACAACCCACCGUAAGUUCAAGACGAUCUCAUCUCAAGAUCCUUAUCUUAAUUAUGUCUAUGAAGAUUCUAUUUCCAAAUAAGUUCAUAUUCGUGCGGUCUGGAAGAUUAGAAUGUGGACACAUCUUUUUCAGGGACACAAUUCACCCCACUGCAGUGACCACAGCCGGAUCAGACUCGUUCACCCACUUCAGUGACCACAGAUGGAUCAGACUCGUUCGCUCCCUGCAGUGACCACGGCCGGAUCAGACUUGUUCCCUACAAAGGGGAUUUCUCAUGAGAGCCAGUCACACGAGGGCAGAGACUUUGGUUAUCCUCGCCCUGGUAGCUUCAGCAUCUGCGCUGCAUGUGGUGGCACAACUGAGGCUCUCAGAUAAUUUCCCAAAGGUCUGACAGCUAGAAAAUCAUGUAAUCUGAUGCUUAAGCCAGUGCUCCAAGCCAGAGGUGAGCAAACCAUAGUCUGUAGGACAAAUCUGGCCCAUCACCUGUGACCACAGCCAGAUUCUGCCACAAAAACAGGAGAAUUCUCCGAGAACACAUCCAGUUUAAUUACAGCACAGUCACACUCGUUAUUCAAAGCAUCAUCUCCGGCUUUCUUCCCUGCUGCAAUGGCAAAGCUGAGUAAUUGAGAGAGACAGUAGGAACUGAACAGCCUGAAAUACUUGUCAUCUGGCCCUUCAUGUAAAUGUCUCCUGAACUCUGCUCUAUGCUGCCGAUACUAUAUUAUCUAUUCUAUUCAGUGUAUAUGUUAUCAUUUAUAUCAAACGUUUAAGGGCUUUGUAUCUAUAAUUUGAGAAAUGUUUACAUUUGAUUCUCAAAUGAAACCCACCAACAAUUAAUUUACAAGGAAACAGGUACUUCUUGAACAUGAUGGCCUUCCCCACUGUGUUUCUAUUUUCACAGGGAUGUUUUCAGACUCGAUGAUCCCAAAAGUGAUCCCAUUAGAAGAAGAAGGAAAAAAAAAUAAAAAAGAAAGAAACAACCUCCGCCCCUGCAACCUCUUAAACGGCCCACAACAUCUGAAUCGGAAGGUCCGUUCAUGCUGAUUUUCUACGUGUCAGGAAUUUCAUGCCAAAAAGCGACUCUUCUACAUUAAUAACGCAUCUCCCCAUCCAAGACAGGAAAUAACAUUACAAAAGCCGGAAAGGACAUCAAACGCGCUGGCUUGGCAGCCACAUGUAUAUGUGAAAUUACUGUCAGAGUUCAAAGGCAGGGCUGAGACAUGGAGGGUGCGUGCGGCAGUGUUACCCCAUGAUGCUUUUACCUCGUGGGAAUAAGCACAGUGGCAGGUUACUGUGACCUGGCCACUGGCUUCCUGAUACCCACAUUGAUUCUGGCACGUGGGACUGCAGGGCUGGAUUUGGGUGGGCUUUGCAGCUCCCCAUACAUCCUACCCCAGCUCAAGAGCCUCACACGUAAAGCAACCUUUCCAGGUUUGGGCAGCCCGGACCAGUGCCUGCACCCAGGGCUGGCCAAUGCUGCAGAGCUGGCUCUUACUGAGCACUGCACUAAUUAUUAAAGCAUUGCCUCAGGACUCUUGCACAACCUUGAGAAGUAGGAGCUAUCAUGCCCCCUAAUUCAUGGAUGGGGAAUUGAAGAUGAAUUGAGGUUACUUGAUGUGCCCAUUGCAUGGAGGAAGUGGAGGAACCAAGGUUCAAGCCCAAAGAUUCCAUCACUCACAACUACCAGGCUUCACUGCUUCAAUGUGGAAGCUUCCUUGGGAGAUGCAGCCAACCACGCCCAGGCAAGGUUGGACCUGAAGGUGUGAAGAGCUCACCUUUCUGGUUAAGGCAAGUCACUGAGCCCCAUUUGGAGAUGGAGUUUGCAUCAAUCUUCAUGGCAAGAGGGAUCAUGACAUGAAUGAGAGGGCAGCAAUUUGACCAAAGGCUCUUCUAGCUAGACAGGUAACUUGGUUUAUCCUCCUGACUCAUUAAACUGCCUGGUGAACUCCUAUGCAUUCUUCAAAACCCAGUUUAAACAUUCCUUUCACCAUGAAGAUUUCCUUGCCCCAUAAAAAGUCAAUCAACUCUUUCUUUGGGCCCCUGAAGUGUAUGUGUUGUGAGUGCUUCUGUCUUGACACAGACUGCUUUGCCUUGAAUGUGUGCAGCUCGCUGUCUGUAUAGUACAUUCAUCAAGGACAGGAAUUGUGUUCAAUGUGCCUGUGGACACCAGCUUGGAUUAACAGGAACAACGCUAGUAACACCCAGCGCUAGUUAAUCACGUACUCUGUGCUGCGCACUCCUCUAACGGGGUCAUGGGCUCUAAUCCUUAAAACACCGUAGGAGGCUGCUGUGAUUAUUAUUCCCAAUGGCGAGGCGUGUAGGCUCUGAAGCCAGGCCACCUGGGUUUGAACCCUGGCUCUGCCUGUGACCUUGAGUGAGUUACUCAGCCUCUCUGUGUCUCGGGAUUCUCAGUGACAUAGGGAUCAUCACAGCAGUCACCCAGUGAGGGCUGGAGCCAACUCCGGCAAGAGCUAACUAUUAAAGCUUAAAGAAUUUUGCCAUCGUUAAACAUUACAUUAUGCACACUUAGAGUGGAGUAAACUAUAUUUAAAACAAACGUAAUAAACACUCAAAAGUCAUCACUUCCUAAUUAUUUCCCCACAUUUUACUUUCCUCCCUGCCCUUAAGGAUACUCACGUUUCCACUUUGGUGGAAAUACGGAAUAACGAUGAGCUUGCACACUGCUUCCCAACUUUAUGUUCAAUGGCCUCACACUGGUUGAAAUGAGACGUAAGGAGGGGAUUUACACCAUGGAGACUGGCAAACGCUAUAACUCAGGGUUUUUUUAACCUUGGAAAACCACUUGUUAAGCAUUCCCCAGCACAGCGAUGUAACCACCUUAUAGCAAGCACACAGUAAGCUGUCAAUAUGCAUUAGCUACUAUUGCUAUUACUACGAAGAAGACAGAGCUUAAAUCACUCACCCAGGUUAUGAAAGAUCCAGGUAUGACCCCAGACAUGACAGCUCCCUAUCCCUUAACCAGCUUGAACUCAAGGCAGACCACAGAGGAGUGGCCAAGAAAUGUAUUUGGUUGAAUAAACAAACAUUGAAUUAGUAGAUCUCAAAUCUGCUGGCCGCAGAAGUGCCUGGGGAGCUUUGUAUGGACACAGAUUCCCACAGUAUCCCUUGUGGUAGGCUCCAGAGUGUGCAUUAGAGCGAGUGCGUCGGGUUCUGAUUCUGUCCCUCCCCAUAGCCCAGCCCCAUCCCUGUCUUGCUUGUUGCCCGCUUGUGACCCAUCUUCCACAUCUGCCUUCCUGCAUCCCUACGGGGGUGAGUGGGAACUGUGAGGUGGAGAACCGCAUAGGGCAGGGGCCCCUCUGUGCACAGGCCUUAACCAAGAGAGGGCUUGAAGACUGAACACCGUUGCAGGCAAAUUAGAAGAAAACCUGCCUCCUCCAGCAGACACUGACCGUGGUGUAUAGGCAGCCAAGAGAGGCCGCAGCUUACCUGGGCUCAGAGGCCUGCAUAUAUCUGAGUCCACGGUAACAAAAAACAGGCUGUGAGCGUGCACUGCACUUGCAAAUUCACAAAAUGCUGCCACAUUCCUUCUCCUUUCAUCUCACGAUAACCCCAUGAGAUCAGCAAUGGAUGCAUAAAAAUAAUCCCCCGUUUACAGAUGAGGAAACAUGUGACUCAUAUAGCUCAGAGCUGCUCAUGCCUGGAGCCUCAGGCUUCAAAGCUGUGUUUUUCCUUCAAAAGUGGGUGUGAGGGAGAGAAGUGGAGAAGAUGGGGGCCGGAGUCCCGGAAAGUCAACGUUUAUGCAUUAUGUUGGCUUUGCUACCCACUAGCUGUGUGACCCUGGAAAAGCUUCUUAAUUUCUCUGUGCCUUAAGUUUGCACCUUUGAAAAACCUAAGAAAAUGAUUGGCAGCCUCCUCUUAUGGUUGUGGUGAAUUAAUAGAUGUAAAAAUGCCUCUUAGAAUGUUGCACUGGGUGGGGUUCAAUAAUGGAAUAGACAGGAACCACAGCAACAGCUAUAAUGAUAUUGUUGCCUUUAUAUAUCUUGUGGCAUUUCCGGGCUAUUAUUUUUAAAAGGCAGGCUAUUGAGCUAUCUGGGAUAGAUCAAGUGACGGAUACGUAGAUGGGAAGUCAAGGAGCUCUAGACUGGAAGUUGGGGACCAUGGAUUGAAGACCUCAUCCAGUCAACAGGUAUUUCCUGGACACAUACGAUGUGUCCAGUCCUCUGAAGGUCCCCUCUGACAAAGUGGCUGCAUGGAGCAAUAGCUACGACUGUGACCCCAGGGCCACACAGACAGGGUCUAUGUCUGCAGCUGAUGGGCUCACGGCCUUGCUCUAGUCCCUUAUCUCCCUGCAUCUGUCGUCCCGUCUGUAAAAUAGAAUGAAUCAGAAAAUAAACAGCAUCUCUCUGACUCAGUGGCUGCAUGGAGCAAUAGGUAAGAGUGUGACCCCAGGGCCACACAGACAGGGUCUACAUCUGCAACUGAUGGGCUCACAGCCUUGCUCUAGCCCCUUGUCUAUCUGUAUCUGUCAUCCAAUCUGUAAAACAGAAUGAAUCAG
RNAcentral lists this long non-coding RNA (4853 nucleotides) under Homo sapiens (human). RNAcentral describes it as "HSALNT0234849". Lineage: Eukaryota; Metazoa; Chordata; Mammalia; Primates; Hominidae. The record is from RNAcentral.